Molecule: ribosomal RNA, 494 nt
Filed under: uncultured bacterium
Lineage: Bacteria
Description: partial 16S ribosomal RNA
Rfam family: Bacterial small subunit ribosomal RNA
Source: RNAcentral
GACGAACGCUGGCGGCGUGCUUAACACAUGCAAGUCGAACGGUGAAGCGCCUUCCUUUUUGGUGGGUGUGGAUGAGUGGCGAACGGGUGAGUAACACGUGAGUAACCUGCCCUCUUCUUCUGGAUAACCGCAUGAAAGUGUGGCUAAUACGGGAUAUUCUGGGUCUGUCGCAUGAUGGGUCUGGGAAAGAUAUUGUUUCGGUGUGGGAUGGGCUCGCGGCCUAUCAGCUUGUUGGUGGGGUGAUGGCCUACCAAGGCGGUGACGGGUAGCCGGCCUGAGAGGGUGGACGGUCACACUGGGACUGAGACACGGCCCAGACUCCUACGGGAGGCAGCAGUGGGGAAUAUUGCACAAUGGGCGCAAGCCUGAUGCAGCGACGCCGCGUGAGGGAUGGAGGCCUUCGGGUUGUGAACCUCUUUCGCCAGUGAAGCAGGCCUGCCUCGUUUGUGGGUGGGUUGACGGUAGCUGGAUAAGAAGCGCCGGCUAACUACGUG